This is a long non-coding RNA of Tarenaya hassleriana, 543 nucleotides long. RefSeq lists it as uncharacterized. The record is from RefSeq and is a predicted model, not a curated record. Lineage: Eukaryota; Viridiplantae; Streptophyta; Magnoliopsida; Brassicales; Cleomaceae. The transcript has 4 exons.
GUUCAAGAGUGUAGACACAUGGCCUGAACCUGAAUGCAGAAGCUUUUUCUUCAUCUCAGACAUCAACCCUAAAUUCUCUAGGUAGAGAAGAGUUACGAGAUAUACCUGGACAGCCUAUAAACCUGAAGUCUUGGUCUUUUCAACCGAGACUUUCCAUUGCAAGCAAAGAUCGGUUUGGGAUGGAAUGGGAAGUGGUAAUAAUGGCAGUUUGGACUGAAUAUUGCACGGGGAAGCUAUGGGGAGGCUAUGCACAUGUUGAUGGGCUCUCCAGAGACAUCCAAUGAGAUGGAAGGAUUGAUCGGAUGUCAAGAUAGAUUUGUGUUUUGAGUAGAACCUGAGAUGCACGUGCUCAUCUAUUUAAAGGAUGAUGAAUGAUCCUGUUGCAUUCCUGUGGGGUAUAGAGUUGUAAGUUACUGAUAAGAACAGUUUCACUUGGCAUGAAAACAGCAAGACGUCUGAUGUUAGAAAGUGAAAGCAGCAUGCAAUCCAUUGUUCUUUCUAUGUAUGUGAAUUAAAAUGCUUCGAGUCACUUUCUUUUUGCAA